Marmota flaviventris (yellow-bellied marmot) is the source of this 1612-nucleotide non-coding RNA. The record is from RefSeq and is a predicted model, not a curated record. Lineage: Eukaryota; Metazoa; Chordata; Mammalia; Rodentia; Sciuridae.
CAAGGGCAGCGCGGUUGGUUUAGCGGUAGCGUCAGCCGAGAGCUGAGGCAGUUCUGGGGUAGGAAGAUGGGUGCAGGAGGUGCUUGAGGCGGGGAGAGGAGCACCUCUCCUCCUGAUGCCUCGGUCCUAGCGUGCCUGCUGGGCUUAUCCUGUGCUUUUGUCUCCACAGUGGCCGAAGGGGGGACAGUCAGCGACUCGCGGGCGGCAGACUUCUUGUUCAGCUGUGACGCCUCGCACCCAGACACCCUGAGGUACCUGAGAGCCGCCUGGAAGUGCCUCUUGUCACGACGAGCCCAGAGUCAGGGAUGGAGGUUGCAGCCCGCUAAUAAAUAUAUAUGAUAGAGGGAGACUGGAAACAGUUUUAGAUGUAACUGUUUUUCAUCCUCAAGGCCCUUGUCCAUUUGACUGGACCGGACCGUCACAAUAGCUUUCUAAGAGCUUCCGUUGCUUGGAAUCUGUCCUCCAAAAUCUCCUUUCGCGUUGCUCCCACAUUAUGUUUGUAAAGCAGAGAUCUGCUCACGGGCCUCCCCACUUUUAUUCCCCUUCUCCCUUCCUGAUUACCUACAGAUUUAGAUUUUUGGCUAGAGCCCACUUUGUUUAUUUCCCAGUUUCUCCCUCAUUCCUUCCAUAAGACCAGUCUAAGGUGUCACUGUGCCUUCGUGUUUGUCAUUCUUUUUUCUCUAAUGCCCUUCCUCUUCUUUCCACCUUUUUACAGAUCUAGGAAGGAUGUUGCUUUCUAUAUGUGAAGGCUUCCCUGACUGCCUGCCCAUACCCUACCUCGGAAUUAACUAAGUUCUUUACAGCAAAGACUAUGGGUAAAAUUUGCAGGCUGCUGGCUCUCAAUCCACUGUUUUUUGUCCCGUUAAACAGCAUCAUCUGAGGUCAAGUUUCUAAAUUUAUAUAAUAAUUGAUGACUUCUCUAAAACUGAGAUUUGUCUAGAUGUAGGCCCCCAAAUAAGCAAUAUGCCAUGUUUUUCUUCUUUGUCAGGAGGAAAAAAAAAAUAAUAUAUGAAAGCCUUGAUUACAUAGAAGAUAAUGCUACAGUUUUUCAUGCCUACUAUCUCUCUGCAGUAGCCAAUGCUGAAAUUAAAAACUCGGUGGCUUUAGGUCAUUUCAUUCUUCCUCCUUCAUGUCUACAAAAAGGUUAGCAAAGAUCCUUCAACCAAUCUCUGUUAGCCAAAUCCAGCUAAUUCCUGCUAGACAGCCAAAUUCAACUUACCUUUGUUCUCAGAUAUUUUUGUUUCGUAUCACAUAAUAUAAAUGGAAAAACCAUGGACUUCAGAUGAGAUUGCCAUGAGUAUCUAUCCUGGCUUCAUUUAUCAUUCAUACAUUCACUGAGCAUCUCCUAUAUGCCAGGUUCCAAUGCAGAAACAGGGAUUCUGUGGUGAAUAAGGCAGAUACAGAUCUUGUUCUCAAAUGCUCAUUGACUAGAAUCCAACGCUUAUUAGUUUUGGGAUCCUUGACAAGUUAUUAAAUUUUUCACAAGUUGUUUUGAAGAUAAAAUGAGAUAAUUUAUUAAGGUAUAUGAUGUGGUGAGCAUUUAAUAUUGUCUUCUUUGCUAGUUUUGAAUCUUUUCAUUAUGUUUCUGAAUUUUUAAAAGAUUCGUUAUGAA